Molecule: ribosomal RNA, 460 nt
Filed under: uncultured bacterium
Lineage: Bacteria
Description: partial 16S ribosomal RNA
Rfam family: Bacterial small subunit ribosomal RNA
Source: RNAcentral
CCUACGGGUGGCAGCAGUGAGGAAUAUUGGUCAAUGGCCGUAAGGCUGAACCAGCCAAGUAGCGUGAGGGAUGACUGCCCUAUGGGUUGUAAACUUCUUUUAUGUGGGGAUAAAGGUGUGCACGUGAGGAUGUUAGUAUGUAUCGCAUGAAUAAGGACCGGCUAAUUCCGUGCCAGAAGCGGCGGUAAUACGGAAGGUCUGGGUGUUAUCCGUAUUUUUUGGGUUUAAAGGGAGCGUAGGCGGGUCUUUAAGCGUGCCGUGAAAGUUUGAGGCUCAACCGUGGGAGUGCAGCGGAAACUGGAGGCCUUGAGUGCACAGAGGGAAGGCGGAAUUCGUGGUGUAGCGGUGAAAUGCUUAGAUAUCACGAAGAACCCCGAUUGCGAAGGCAAGCUGCCGGGGCGUAACUGACGCUGAGGCUCGAAAGCGCGGGUAUCGAACAGGAUUAGAUACCCUUGUAGUC